This 611-nucleotide ribosomal RNA is filed under the name Acinetobacter calcoaceticus. RNAcentral describes it as "bacterial SSU rRNA". It matches the Rfam family "Bacterial small subunit ribosomal RNA", at positions 558 to 1169 of the family's 1533-position model. The record is from RNAcentral. Lineage: Bacteria; Pseudomonadati; Pseudomonadota; Gammaproteobacteria; Moraxellales; Moraxellaceae.
GCGUAAGCGCGCGUAGGCGGCUAAUUAAGUCAAAUGUGAAAUCCCCGAGCUUAACUUGGGAAUUGCAUUCGAUACUGGUUAGCUAGAGUGUGGGAGAGGAUGGUAGAAUUCCAGGUGUAGCGGUGAAAUGCGUAGAGAUCUGGAGGAAUACCGAUGGCGAAGGCAGCCAUCUGGCCUAACACUGACGCUGAGGUGCGAAAGCAUGGGGAGCAAACAGGAUUAGAUACCCUGGUAGUCCAUGCCGUAAACGAUGUCUACUAGCCGUUGGGGCCUUUGAGGCUUUAGUGGCGCAGCUAACGCGAUAAGUAGACCGCCUGGGGAGUACGGUCGCAAGACUAAAACUCAAAUGAAUUGACGGGGGCCCGCACAAGCGGUGGAGCAUGUGGUUUAAUUCGAUGCAACGCGAAGAACCUUACCUGGCCUUGACAUAGUAAGAACUUUCCAGAGAUGGAUUGGUGCCUUCGGGAACUUACAUACAGGUGCUGCAUGGCUGUCGUCAGCUCGUGUCGUGAGAUGUUGGGUUAAGUCCCGCAACGAGCGCAACCCUUUUCCUUAUUUGCCAGCGAGUAAUGUCGGGAACUUUAAGGAUACUGCCAGUGACAAACUGGAGG